UGUUGGGGCAGCCUACCAUGCAGUCGAGCGCCCUGCUUGCAAGGCAGCGGCUCACGGCUGAGUAAUGCAUGGGAAUCUACCCAGCUCUGCGGAAUAACUCAGGGAAACUUGAACUAAUACCGGAUGCGCCCUUCGGGGGAAAGAUUUAUCGGAGUUGGAUGAGCCCAUGUCUGAUUAGCUAGUUGGUGGGGUAAAGGCCUACCAGGGCGACUAUCAGUAGCUGGUCUGGGAGGAUGAUCAGCCACUCUGGGACUGAGACACGGCCCAGACUCCUACGGGAGGCAGCAGUGGGGAAUAUUGGACAAUGGGCGCAAGCCUGAUCCAGCCAUGCCGCGUGAGUGAUGAAGGCCCUAGGGUUGUAAAGCUCUUUCACCGGUGAAGAUAAUGACUGUAACCGGAGAAGAAGCCCCGGCUAACUUCGUGCCAGCAGCCGCGGUAAUACUAAGGGGGCUAGCGUUGUUCCGAAUUACUGGGCGUAAAGCGCGCGUACGCGGAUCGGUCAGUUAGGGGUGAAAUCCCGGGGCUCAACCCCGGAACUGCCUCUAAUACUGCCGAUCUACAGUUCGAGAGAGGUGAGUGGAAUUCCUAGUGUAGAGGUGAAAUUCGUAGAUAUUCGGAGGAACACCAGUGGCGAAGGCGUCUCACUGGCUCGAUACUGACCCUGAAGUGCGAAAGCAUGAGGAGCAAACAGGAUUACAUACCCUGGUAAUCCACGCCGUAAAACGAUGGAAAGCUAGCCGUUGGCAGGUUUACCUGUCCGUGGCGCAGUCUAACGCAUUUAACCUUCCCGCCUGGGGAGUACGGUCGCAAGAUUAAGACUAACAGGAAUUAGACGGGGGCCCGCACAAGCGUGUGGGAGCAUGUGGGUUUAAUUCAAAACACCACUCAAACCCUUACCACCCCUUGACAUCCCGACCCUGUUACCAAAUUUGGGUUUCCCUUCAAAUAGCCUGAAUCUGACAUAGGGUCUGCAUGCUGUCCUAGACUCCAGUCGGGUAUUGGUGAGUUAGUUCCGCAACUA
RNAcentral lists this ribosomal RNA (1021 nucleotides) under Nitratireductor kimnyeongensis. RNAcentral's name for it is "bacterial SSU rRNA". It matches the Rfam family "Bacterial small subunit ribosomal RNA", at positions 34 to 1095 of the family's 1533-position model. Lineage: Bacteria; Pseudomonadati; Pseudomonadota; Alphaproteobacteria; Hyphomicrobiales; Phyllobacteriaceae. The record is from RNAcentral.